CUACGGGCGGCUCCAGUGGGGAAUAUUGGACAAUGGGCGAAAGCCUGAUCCAGCCAUGCCGCGUGGAUGAAGAAGGCCCUAGGGUUGUAAAGUCCUUUCGGUGGUGAAGAUAAUGACGGUAACCACAGAAGAAGCCCCGGCUAAUUUCGUGCCAGCAGCCGCGGUAAUACGAAAGGGGCUAGCGUUGUUCGGAAUUACUGGGCGUAAAGCGCACGUAGGCGGCCUUGUAAGUUGGGGGUGAAAUCCCGGAGCUCAACUCCGGAACUGCCUUCAAAACUACAAAGCUAGAGGAUGUGAGAGGAGAGUGGAAUUCCGAGUGUAGAGGUGAAAUUCGUAGAUAUUCGGAAGAACACCGGUGGCGAAGGCGACUGUCUGGCACAUUUCUGACGCUGAGGUGCGAAAGCGUGGGGAGCAAACAGGAUUAGAUACCCUCGUAGUC
RNAcentral lists this ribosomal RNA (439 nucleotides) under uncultured bacterium. RNAcentral describes it as "partial 16S ribosomal RNA". It matches the Rfam family "Bacterial small subunit ribosomal RNA", at positions 339 to 795 of the family's 1533-position model. The record is from RNAcentral.